AUUGAACGCUGGCGGCAUGCUUUACACAUGCAAGUCGAACGGCAGCGCGGGCUUCGGCCUGGCGGCGAGUGGCGAACGGGUGAGUAAUGCAUCGGAACGUGCCCAGUAGUGGGGGAUAGCCCGGCGAAAGCCGGAUUAAUACCGCAUACGACCUGAGGGUGAAAGCGGGGGACCGAAAGGCCUCGCGCUAUUGGAGCGGCCGAUGUCGGAUUAGCUAGUUGGUGGGGUAAAGGCUUACCAAGGCGACGAUCCGUAGCUGGUCUGAGAGGACGACCAGCCACACUUGGACUGAGGCACGGCCCAGACUCCUACGGGAGGCAGCAGUGGGGAAUUUUGGACAAUGGGGGCAACCCUGAUCCAGCCAUGCCGCGUGCGGGAAGAAGGCCUUCGGGUUUUAAACCGCUUUUGUUCGGGAAGAAAUCCUCUGGGCUAAUACCCCGGGGGGAUGACGGUACCGGAAGAAUAAGCACCGGCUAACUACGUG
RNAcentral lists this ribosomal RNA (484 nucleotides) under uncultured bacterium. Its description in RNAcentral is "partial 16S ribosomal RNA". It matches the Rfam family "Bacterial small subunit ribosomal RNA", at positions 28 to 507 of the family's 1533-position model. The record is from RNAcentral.